CAGAUGAAUCCCCAAAAUCGGGUCUCACAUGUCCAAAGGAAGGCGUUCAAACGAAAUUCAUCAAGCCUAGUUCUUCGACCUCUCAUCACACGCGGGUUCAGCAUAACGCCAUGUCACGCGAUUCAACACGACACGAAAUCAUUGAUAACGUUGGGUUUCAAUCUGGUUUGCUCCCGGAAUAAAAAAGUCGAAGGAAAGAGGAACCUACCUGACCGAUCCUACGCGGUGGCUUGGACGGUGCGUUUGUCGUUCUUCGAUCGCUAUGCGCUGUUGUCGAUGAUUCGUAUGCAUUUCGUUGCAUCGUUGAAUGGAGGUGGAGCUUUCGAAUCCGGUAGAACAUGUUAUCGUUCAAGCUCACUUUGCGAUUCCGUGACAGUGAUUCUCUGGCGAAGAAAGGUUCUUGAAGGUUUUUGUUGGAGAUGACGGUUGAAUGUGGAUGGUAGGAAAAUGGAGGAUGAAGAAGGUUUUUGGAAGAUCGUUUCUGAGAGAUUUCCCCUGGUUCUGCAGGUUUUAGGGACUCCUUAUCAGAGGGAGAGUUGAAGUUUUGUUAUGGUGAAAAAUGAUUCUCUCCUCUUCAAUCACAGCUUCCCUGUUGAAGUCAGUUGGGAAAAGAAAGAGUUAAUGGAGUUCAGUUUAUGAAGUCGCCAUCAACGAUUAUGAGUUUGUUGGAAGGAUGAAAUUGGUUAGAGUUAUAUUGAUGUAGUUCAUGAAUCACGAUUGCGGAACUUGCUGCACCUGAAUAUGGUUAGUAAAGGCAAGGCAAGUUAUUUGAGACUAACUUUAAUUUUGUUAGCAUGUUAACGACUUUGAAUGAGAGAUGGCUAGGUUCCAUUGGUUAUCAUUGAAUUUUGAAAUGUUAUGUUGUUUUCCAUAACUGAUCCUACUGUGAAAUGAAGAAAAAUUGUUGAACUGUUAGUGUAAAUUGGUUUGGAAAUUAUGAUUCUGUUAGUAUAGUUAGGAUGUUUUGUGGUUAGUUAGUUCACUAGUUGUUAGGUUGAAAUGAAUUGAAAUGAGAGUUAUGCGGUAAAUUCUGUUAGUUAUUUUUUAGAUGUUAUGAAAUCUGAAAAUGCAACCUAAAAUGCAGGUUCUGUUUGUGCAUUGCUUCGUGACUGAACUGCUACUUGUUAGGUUAACAUGUUAGUGUUGGGAACUUAUUUUGAAUUAGAAAGCUAAUGAUUUUCAUGUUAAAAUAAACUAAAAUUGAAUGAGAAUGAAUUGUUACGUUAGGAAACUGUUAAAUUGAAAUGGAUGGAUUAGUGAUAUUAUGGUAUGGUUGUUAAUUGGGUUCGGUUUGAUGUGGUUUUGGUGCUAGGUUUUGCUUGUCCCGUGGUCAUGGCUCAACGAUGCUUGGCAUGGAGGCUUAUGAAAGCUCAAGGUUAUGGUUUGGAAUUGAUUUGGAUGUUUGAAUUAAUCUUGUGUAAUUGACUUAAUUUUGGAGUUGGUUUAUGUAAGGUUUGAACAACGUAAUGCAUUUGGGAAUUUGUUGUAAUUUUGUAUGUAAUGUGAAUUUAAAUAUGUGAAUUGAAAAUGGAUGUAUGCAAUGGUAAUUGGAUGAAAAUGUAUGUAUGAAAAUGAGUUUGGAAAUGUUUGGAAGUUAAAUAUUAUUGAAUGUUAUGAAAUGA
Molecule: long non-coding RNA, 1622 nt
Organism: Lathyrus oleraceus (garden pea)
Lineage: Eukaryota; Viridiplantae; Streptophyta; Magnoliopsida; Fabales; Fabaceae
Exons: 4
Source: RefSeq, a predicted model, not a curated record